RNAcentral lists this ribosomal RNA (254 nucleotides) under uncultured bacterium. Its description in RNAcentral is "partial 16S ribosomal RNA". It matches the Rfam family "Bacterial small subunit ribosomal RNA", at positions 524 to 776 of the family's 1533-position model. The record is from RNAcentral.
UACGUAGGGGGCGAGCGUUGUCCGGAUUUAUUGGGCGUAAAGAGCUCGUAGGCGGUUUGGUAAGUUGGAUGUGAAAUCUCCAGGCUCAACUUGGAGGGGUCAUUCGAUACUGCCAUGACUAGAGUUCGGUAGGGGAGUGUGGAAUUCCUGGUGGAGCGGUGAAAUGCGCAGAUAUCGGGAGGAACACCGGUGGCGAAGGCGGUUCUCUGGGCCUGUACUGACGCUGAGGAGCGAAAGCGUGGGGAGCGAACAGG